UUGCACCAGUUCUGGAUGGACCGUCUGUACGAAAGACGCAAGUCCUGGAGUUGACGUACUCGGAUUACUUCCAGAGGUUGGAGCGAGAUCCGACGAACCUGAUCAAGAACAUCUACCUGGAAUACCGAAGAAGUCACCGCAACUACCGCCCACAAACGCAGCUUCGGCGGGAUGAACUUUGACGGCGAGUUGGAACAUCUGUGUCAUUCUCGAAGGAGGACGAAGUGAUCGGGAACUAUCCGUUCAGGCACUUUACUUCCCAGCCGGAAAACGUCGACUUCCCUUCCCGAAUCAACAACCAAUGGCCAACUCCUCCAAGCCUGUCCUGAUGAUGGCCGGCAACGAGACCACUCUGUUCUCUACAACGCUGUCGCGCUCCUAAAUGAUGGCCGCGAUCUUGCUGCCCAACGAAACGUCCAUCCGUAACCUGCUCAGCAUGCGGCCUUCGGACGUGACCGGCGGCGUACCGUAAGAAUCGGUUCAGCUUGGACGCGGAAAUUGGCCAACCAGAAGCAGAUGCGUUAAAUACCAAAAAAAAUCGAAAACAUACUGUUUUUAUAUUAAAAUAGUGAAAUAAAAUCCAUCACUUUUUUCGAAAAUCAUCACUGUAAUGUUAAAUUUAAUUUGUUCUUGCCAUAAAAAGUUUUUUCUUAUAUUAAAAGUAAAAAACUUUUACCGAUACAACGAUUUUGUUCCAGAAAUGCAUGGUAGUAUCAACAACUUUCCAACUUUUAAAUUAAAAAGUUAGAACUUUCUACGAAUAUUCACCAACGCGAACUUUUAAUCCAACCAACGAUCUUUUUAAAUUUACAGUAUUUUUUCUUUGUGUGUAGAAGCGACUCCAAGCAACGCGACUGAAAGAAGCGAUUUCGAUGCAAACAUAAUAUCUUUUGAUGUUAAAUGCAGUAUUUGUUGUGCUCUAGUUCCAGAAAUGGUUCUCCGAAAUAAUUUGGUGGCCACUGGCCACUCCAGAACCGAUACUGAAUGUCCCCCGGGGAACCACCGAAGAGGCCAAUAUCUGAUCAGAGCAAAACCUGUCAUUAUUGGAAUCUUUUUUUUUUUCAUUUUGGAAGGACAUCUCAGAAAUGGACAACCUAAAUAAUUGAAUAGCCACUGGCCACUUUAGAACCGGUUCUGAAUGUCCCCCAGGGAACCACUGAUAUGACCAGUAUCUGAUCAGAGCAAAACCUGUCAAAAUAAGUAUUGAAAUUCUUUAUUUUAGAAGAACAUCUCAGAAAAAAAUAUUUUGGAAGAACAUUCUGAAAAUUUAGAUUGACCUGGCCACUCCGGAACCGGUUCUGAAACACAUAAAUUUAGAAAUUCAAAAAUAAAAAUACAGAGCAAAUGUUCGCUAACUGAAACGAAUUCGAAUUAAAAAGCACUCAAUCGUUAUAACCAGUUGUCAAACUGGCUUCGACAUUUUAACCCCAUUGUUCGACGAUAUCCGAGCACGUUGUUUUGCUUUUUAAUUAUCCGCACAAUCCGUACUAUCCGGAUAUUUGUAACAAAACAUAAUAGUUUUGGAGAUUUUGCCUAAUAUUUUUUACUUUAAUCAUUAUCUGGGGUGGAUAUGGUAGAGCAC
This is a long non-coding RNA of Culex pipiens pallens (northern house mosquito), 1582 nucleotides long. RefSeq lists it as uncharacterized. The transcript is spliced from 2 exons. Lineage: Eukaryota; Metazoa; Arthropoda; Insecta; Diptera; Culicidae. The record is from RefSeq and is a predicted model, not a curated record.